This 95-nucleotide signal recognition particle RNA is filed under the name Deltaproteobacteria bacterium. RNAcentral describes it as "signal recognition particle sRNA small type". It matches the Rfam family "Bacterial small signal recognition particle RNA". From Rfam's summary of the family: The signal recognition particle (SRP) is a universally conserved ribonucleoprotein involved in the co-translational targeting of proteins to membranes. The record is from RNAcentral. Lineage: Bacteria; Pseudomonadati; Myxococcota; Myxococcia.
CCGGCUAGUGAAUGCAAAAUAGUCCACAAACCCCGCCAGAGUCGGAAGACAGCAACGGUAGUGAUUACUUAUUUGUGAUAUUUACUAGCCAUUUC